RNAcentral lists this ribosomal RNA (561 nucleotides) under Hanseniaspora uvarum. RNAcentral's name for it is "partial large subunit ribosomal RNA". It matches the Rfam family "Eukaryotic large subunit ribosomal RNA", at positions 52 to 620 of the family's 3401-position model. The record is from RNAcentral. Lineage: Eukaryota; Fungi; Ascomycota; Saccharomycetes; Saccharomycodales; Saccharomycodaceae.
GGAGGAAAAGAAACCAACUGGGAUUACCUUAGUAACGGCGAGUGAAGCGGUAAAAGCUCAAAUUUGAAAUCUGGUACUUUCAGUGCCCGAGUUGUAAUUUGUAGAAUUUGUCUUUGAUUAGGUCCUUGUCUAUGUUCCUUGGAACAGGACGUCAUAGAGGGUGAGAAUCCCGUUUGGCGAGGAUACCUUUUCUCUGUAAGACUUUUUCGAAGAGUCGAGUUGUUUGGGAAUGCAGCUCAAAGUGGGUGGUAAAUUCCAUCUAAAGCUAAAUAUUGGCGAGAGACCGAUAGCGAACAAGUACAGUGAUGGAAAGAUGAAAAGAACUUUGAAAAGAGAGUGAAAAAGUACGUGAAAUUGUUGAAAGGGAAGGGCAUUUGAUCAGACAUGGUGUUUUUUGCAUGCACUCGCCUCUCGUGGGCUUGGGCCUCUCAAAAAUUUCACUGGGCCAACAUCAAUUCUGGCAGCAGGAUAAAUCAUUAAGAAUGUAGCUACUUCGGUAGUGUUAUAGCUUUUUGGAAUACUGUUAGCCGGGAUUGAGGACUGCGCUCGGCAAGGAUGUGC